GAUGAACGCUGGCGGCGUGCCUAAUACAUGCAAGUCGAGCGAACGGACGAGAAGCUUGCUUCUCUGAUGUUAGCGGCGGACGGGUGAGUAACACGUGGAUAACCUACCUAUAAGACUGGGAUAACUUCGGGAAACCGGAGCUAAUACCGGAUGAUAUUUUGAACCGCAUGGUUCAAAAGUGAAAGACGGUCUUGCUGUCACUUAUAGAUGGAUCCGCGCUGCAUUAGCUAGUUGGUAAGGUAACGGCUUACCAAGGCAACGAUGCAUAGCCGACCUGAGAGGGUGAUAGGCCACACUGGAACUGAGACACGGUCCAGACUCCUACGGGAGGCAGCAGUAGGGAAUCUUGCGCAAUGGGCGAAAGCCUGACGGAGCAACGCCGCGUGAGUGAUGAAGGUCUUCGGAUCGUAAAACUCUGUUAUUAGGGAAGAACAUAUGUGUAAGUAACUGUGCACAUCUUGACGGUACCUAAUCAGAAAGCCACGGCUAACUACGUG
This 497-nucleotide ribosomal RNA is filed under the name uncultured bacterium. Its description in RNAcentral is "partial 16S ribosomal RNA". It matches the Rfam family "Bacterial small subunit ribosomal RNA", at positions 28 to 507 of the family's 1533-position model. The record is from RNAcentral.